This 540-nucleotide ribosomal RNA is filed under the name uncultured bacterium. Its description in RNAcentral is "bacterial SSU rRNA". It matches the Rfam family "Bacterial small subunit ribosomal RNA", at positions 354 to 896 of the family's 1533-position model. The record is from RNAcentral.
UGAGGGAAUAUUGGUCAAUGGGCGCAAGCCUGAACCAGCCAAGUAGCGUGCAGGAAGACGGCCCUAUGGGUUGUAAACUGCUUUUAUACGAGAAUAAAUUGAUGCACGUGUGCGUCAUUGCAUGUAUCGUAUGAAUAAGGACCGGCUAAUUCCGUGCCAGCAGCCGCGGUAAUACGGAAGGUCCAGGCGUUAUCCGGAUUUAUUGGGUUUAAAGGGAGUGUAGGCGGUUUGUUAAGCGUGUUGUGAAAUUUAGGUGCUCAACAUUUAACUUGCAGCGCGAACUGUCAGACUUGAGUACACGCAACGUAUGCGGAAUUCAUGGUGUAGCGGUGAAAUGCUUAGAUAUCAUGAAGAACUCCGAUUGCGAAGGCAGCAUACGGGAGUGUAACUGACGCUUAAGCUCGAAGGUGCGGGUAUCGAACAGGAUUAAAUACCCUGGUAGUCCGCACAGUAAACGAUGGAUGCCCGCUGUUAGCGCCUGGCGUUAGCGGCUAAGCGAAAGCAUUAAGCAUCCCACCUGGGGAGUACGCGGGCACGGUG